This 1216-nucleotide ribosomal RNA is filed under the name metagenome. RNAcentral's name for it is "bacterial SSU rRNA". It matches the Rfam family "Bacterial small subunit ribosomal RNA", at positions 298 to 1498 of the family's 1533-position model. The record is from RNAcentral.
GGACGAUCAGCCACACUGGAACUGAGACACGGUCCAGACACCUACGGGUGGCAGCAGUCGAGAAUCUUUCACAAUGGGGGAAACCCUGAUGAAGCGACGCCGCGUGGGGGAAGAAUGGCUUCGGCCCGUAAACCCCUGUCAUUCGCGAGCAAAGCUCGAGGUUGAAUAGGUCUCGAGUUGAUAGUAGCGAAAGAGGAAGGGACGGCUAACUCUGUGCCAGCAGCCGCGGUAAUACAGAGGUCCCAAGCGUUGUUCGGAUUCACUGGGCGUAAAGCGUGCGUAGGUGGUCGGGUAAGUUCGGUGUGAAAGCUCCGGGCCCAACUCGGAAAGGUCAUCGAAAACUACUCGGCUAGAGGAUUGGAUGGGAGACUGGAAUUCUCGGUGUAGCAGUGAAAUGCGUAGAUAUCGAGAGGAACACCAGUGGCGAAGGCGAGUCUCUGGACAAUUCCUGACACUGAGGCACGAAAGCUAGGGGAGCAAACAGGAUUAGAUACCCUGGUAGUCCUAGCCGUAAACGGUGCGCACUUGCUGUAGGCGGAAUCGACCCCGUCUGUGGCGAAGCUAACGCGUUAAGUGCGCCGCCUGGGGAGUACGGUCGCAAGACUAAAACUCAAAGAAAUUGACGGGGGCCUGCACAAGCGGUGGAGUAUGUGGCUUAAUUCGAUCAACGCGAAGAACCUUACCUGGCCUUGACAUCCAAGUGGUAAAAGCCUGAAAGGGUAAUGACCCCGCAAGGGGAGCUUGGACAGGUGCUGCAUGGCUGUCGUCAGCUCGUGUCGUGAGAUGUUGGGUUAAGUCCCGCAACGAGCGCAACCCCCGUGUCCUGUUGCCACUCCCGCUAGCGCGGGAAGCACUCUGGACAGACUGCCUCGCUUAAACGAGGAGGAAGGUGGGGAUGACGUCAAGUCAGUAUGGCCCUUACGGCCGGGGCUGCACACGUACUACAAUGCCUGGCACAGAGGGCAGCGAUACCGCAAGGUGGAGCAAAUCCCUUAAAACCAGGCCCAGUUCAGAUUGUCGUCUGCAAUUCGACGGCAUGAAGUCGGAAUCGCUAGUAAUGGCGUAUCAGCUACGACGCCGUGAAUACGUUCCCAGGCCUUGUACACACCGCCCGUCACAUCAUGAAAGCCGGUUGUACCCGAAGUCACCGUGCCAACCCUCAGGAGGUAGGUGCCGAAGGUAUGACUGGUGAUUGGGAUGAAGACGUAACAAGGUA